ACUCGGUUUUUCUGAUAACGCCAACAACGGAAAAUGGAAAAUGAAUAUUUAUAAAAUAAUAAUAAUCAAAUAAUCAUAUUUCUUAUAGAUAAAACCUAAAUUUUAUCUCUACUAUAUCGACUAUUGCGUUCUAUCUUCUAUGACCUAUGUAAAGAGAGGGUAUUUACGGCUACAACUAAAAUCGAACGGAAUAAAAACGAUGGUAAAAAUACAGUUUUAUUGUAUUUAUUACACGCUAUAAUAUAGUACCUACUGCAAAAAAAAUUACUAAAGAUCAUAAUGGGAAGAAGUGUCAAAUAAAAUACCUACUCAAUAAAAGAUUCUCAAAACAGCUCAGUAGCUGAAAUUGAUGAACACAUUGUUAUGCCGCAGAAUGAAAAAAAUCCAAUUCAGCCAUUUAUUAUUAUUGUAGGUACCCCUACUAAUCCUAAA
Long non-coding RNA from Myzus persicae (green peach aphid), 432 nucleotides. RefSeq lists it as uncharacterized. The record is from RefSeq and is a predicted model, not a curated record. The transcript is spliced from 2 exons. Lineage: Eukaryota; Metazoa; Arthropoda; Insecta; Hemiptera; Aphididae.